RNAcentral lists this ribosomal RNA (501 nucleotides) under uncultured bacterium. RNAcentral describes it as "partial 16S ribosomal RNA". It matches the Rfam family "Bacterial small subunit ribosomal RNA", at positions 29 to 523 of the family's 1533-position model. The record is from RNAcentral.
AUUGAACGCUGGCGGCAUGCCUUACACAUGCAAGUCGAACGGCAGCACGGGUGCUUGCACCUGGUGGCGAGUGGCGAACGGGUGAGUAAUACAUCGGAACGUACCUUAUCGUGGGGGAUAACGCAGCGAAAGCUGUGCUAAUACCGCAUACGCCCUGAGGGGGAAAGCGGGGGAUCGCAAGACCUCGCGCGAUUAGAGCGGCCGAUGCCUGAUUAGCUAGUUGGUGGGGUAAAAGCCCACCAAGGCGACGAUCAGUAGCUGGUCUGAGAGGACGAUCAGCCAGACUGGGACUGAGACACGGCCCAGACUCGUACGGGAGGCAGCAGUGGGGAAUUUUGGACAAUGGGGGCAACCCUGAUCCAGCAAUGCCGCGUGAGUGAAGAAGGCCUUCGGGUUGUAAAGCUCUUUUGUCAGGGAAGAAACACCGGCUCUAACACAGUCCGGGAAUGACGGUACCUGAAGAAUAAGCACCGGCUAACUACGUGCCAGCAGCCGCCGUAA